CCUACGGGAGGCAGCAGUGGGGAAUAUUGCACAAUGGGCGCAAGCCUGAUGCAGCCAUGCCGCGUGUAUGAAGAAGGCCUUCGGGCUGUAAAGUACUUUCAGCGGGGAGGAAGGCGAUAAGGUUAAUAACCUUGUUGAUUGACGUUACCCGCAGAAGAAGCACCGGCUAACUCCGUGCCAGCAGCCGCGGUAAUACGGAGGGUGCGAGCGUUAAUCGGAAUUACUGGGCGUAAAGGGCGCGUAGCGGUGGGUUACGUCUGCCGUGAAAUCCCGGGCUCAACCUGGGAAUGGCGGUGGAAACGGGCUGACUGGAAUAUUGGAAGGGUGAUGGAAUUCCAAGUGUAACGGUGAAAUGCGUUAAAAUUUGGAGGAACACCAGUGGCGAAAGCGGCACUGGGCCCAUAAUUGACCCUUAAGGGCAAAAACGUUGGGAACAAAAAGGAAUUAAUUACCUGGGUUAUUCACCCCCUAAACAAUGGAUUACUGAUUUUUUGGGGCCUUAAGUUGCCAAAUGUUCUUACUACCCCAUAAUUUUCCCCCCUUGGGAAUACCGGCCCCCAAGGGUUUAAAAUCCCAA
Molecule: ribosomal RNA, 577 nt
Filed under: uncultured bacterium
Lineage: Bacteria
Description: bacterial SSU rRNA
Rfam family: Bacterial small subunit ribosomal RNA
Source: RNAcentral